UACGUAGGGUGCGAGCGUUAAUCGGAAUUACUGGGCGUAAAGCGUGCGCAGGCGGUUUUGUAAGACAGAGGUGAAAUCCCCGGGCUCAACCGGGGAACUGCCUUUGUGACUGCAAGGCUUGAGUGCGGCAGAGGGGGAUGGAAUUCCGCGUGUAGCAGUGAAAUGCGUAGAUAUGCGGAGGAACACCGAGGGCGAAGGCAAUCCCCUGGGCCUGCACUGACGCUCAUGCACGAAAGCGUGGGGAGCAAACAGG
Molecule: ribosomal RNA, 253 nt
Filed under: uncultured bacterium
Lineage: Bacteria
Description: partial 16S ribosomal RNA
Rfam family: Bacterial small subunit ribosomal RNA
Source: RNAcentral